This 497-nucleotide ribosomal RNA is filed under the name uncultured bacterium. RNAcentral describes it as "partial 16S ribosomal RNA". It matches the Rfam family "Bacterial small subunit ribosomal RNA", at positions 28 to 507 of the family's 1533-position model. The record is from RNAcentral.
GAUGAACGCUGGCGGCGUGCCUAAUACAUGCAAGUCGAGCGAACGGAUGAGAAGCUUGCUUCUCUGAUGUUAGCGGCGGACGGGUGAGUAAAACGUGGAUAACCUACCUAUAAGACUGGGAUAACUUCGGGAAACCGGAGCUAAAACGGGAUAAUAUUUUAAACCGCAUGGUUAAAAAGUAAAAAACGGUCUUGCUGUCACUUAUAGAUGGAUCCGCGCUGCAUUAGCUAGUUGGUAAGGUAACGGCUUACCAAGGCAACGAUGCAUAGCCGACCUGAGAGGGUGAUCGGCCACACUGGAACUGAGACACGGUCCAGACUCCUACGGGAGGCAGCAGUAGGGAAUCUUCCGCAAUGGGCGAAAGCCUGACGGAGCAACGCCGCGUGAGUGAUGAAGGUCUUCGGAUCGUAAAACUCUGUUAUUAGGGAAGAACAUAUGUGUAAGUAACUGUGCACAUCUUGACGGUACCUAAUCAGAAAGCCACGGCUAACUACGUG